CCUACGGGAGGCAGCAGUGAGGAAUAUUGGUCAAUGGCCGCAGGGCUGAACCAGCCAAGUCGCGUGAGGGAUGACGGUCCUAUGGAUUGUAAACCUCUUUUGUCAGGAAGCAAAGGGCGUCACGUGUGGCGCUUUGCGAGUACCUGAAGGAAAAGCAUCGGCUAACUCCUUGCCAGCAGCCGAGGUAAUCCGGAGGAGGCGAGCGUUAUCCGGAUUUAUUGGGUUAAAAGGGUGCGCAGCAGGAAUGUCAAGUCAGCGGUAAAAUUUCGGGGCUCAACCCCGUCGUGCCGUUGAAACUGGCGUUCUUGAGUGAGCGAGAAGUAGGCGGAAUGCGUGGUGUAGCGGUGAAAUGCAUAGAUAUCACGAAGAACUCCGAUUGCGAAGGCAGCAUACCGGAGCGCAACUGACGCUCAUGCACGAAAGCGUGGGUAUCGAACAGGAUUAGAUACCCCAGUAGUC
This 459-nucleotide ribosomal RNA is filed under the name uncultured bacterium. RNAcentral describes it as "partial 16S ribosomal RNA". It matches the Rfam family "Bacterial small subunit ribosomal RNA", at positions 338 to 795 of the family's 1533-position model. The record is from RNAcentral.